GCUGUCCUGGACCUGCCAGCACCACAGACACAGUUGCUCCUGCGUGCCUGUAACACCGGGGCAAAGAGAAAGUGGCUAUUUCUACCCGAGUAGCUGGGACUACAGGCGCAUGCCACCAUGCUGGGCUAAU
RNAcentral lists this small nucleolar RNA (130 nucleotides) under Homo sapiens (human). RNAcentral's name for it is "small nucleolar RNA SNORA43L1". Lineage: Eukaryota; Metazoa; Chordata; Mammalia; Primates; Hominidae. The record is from RNAcentral.